This 444-nucleotide ribosomal RNA is filed under the name uncultured fungus. RNAcentral describes it as "SSU rRNA". It matches the Rfam family "Eukaryotic small subunit ribosomal RNA", at positions 793 to 1236 of the family's 1831-position model. Lineage: Eukaryota; Fungi. The record is from RNAcentral.
GGGAUCCGAUUUUAGCAUGGAAUAAUAAAAUAGGACGUGUGGUUCUAUUUUGUUGGUUUCUAGGACCGCCGUAAUGAUUAAUAGGGACAGUCGGGGGCAUCAGUAUUCAAUUGUCAGAGGUGAAAUUCUUGGAUUUAUUGAAGACUAACUACUGCGAAAGCAUUUGCCAAGGAUGUUUUCAUUAAUCAGGAACGAAAGUUAGGGGAUCGAAGACGAUCAGAUACCGUCGGAGUCUUAACCAUAAACUAUGCCGACUAGGGAUCGGACGGUGUUAUUUUUUGACCCGUUCGGCACCUUACGAGAAAUCAAAGUGCUUGGGCUCCAGGGGGAGUAUGGUCGCAAGGCUGAAACUUAAAGAAAUUGACGGAAGGGCACCACCAGGGGUGGAGCCUGCGGCUUAAUUUGACUCAACACGGGGAAACUCACCAGGUCCAGAAAUCUAGA